UCUCCACUUCCACCGGUUCCUGUUCCCGAAACCUCCUCACUCCUACGGUCCCACCACGUCAUCGAUCCAAGGCAUAGCAACCUCCCCAAUCAGCGCCGGUUUGCCCAUCCUUCCUUCCCAAUCAACAGCGGCGGUUCCAAUCCAAUGGGCAACGGCGGUGCCACUCAGCUCCCAAUCGGCAGCGACGGUACCACGCUCUUAUCCUGGAGCCCCGACCAUAUGACGCCGAGGCUGUAGCUUCCGUCAGCUCCCCGGCGCUAUUGCCGCCGCCCGCCCGACGCUGCCCACGCUCAUCAACAUCGCUGCCAGGGUUAGGGCCGCCGCCGCCGCCGCUCGACGCCGACGCUGCAGCGCUACUCCGCCGACGCACUCGCCACGUCUUCAGGCAUCGCCUCCAGGCGCUGCUCCACUAGCAGCGACGCGAAUCCGCGACCCCUCCGCCCUCUGCUGUUUUUGACCCCGCCUGCGGCCUUCGGCGCUCCCAUCGUCGUUGCGCCCUUUGCUGGCUGCGGCCCACCUGCGACCUCCGGCCGCCGCGCGCAACGGCCGCGCCACCGCUGCAGCAACAGCGCGGCCACUGCCUAACCCGGCAGCAGCAACUCGCCCCCGACUUAGGCCAUCUGGCUUCCCUUGGAUCGACCCUCCAGAGCUGAUCAGUAACUUUUGGUUUUCUAUGCAGAAAUUUGCAAAGAUUUUUUAUAAGAAGAAGAAGAAACAACUAGCCACAACAGAUAGUUUUGUCUGUGAGAAUUCAACCUUAACUGUUGACAUAGUUGGUCCAUUAAGCACAGAUCACUAUUUGAUCGAUCCACGGAUAACUUUCUGAAAAGGAGGUUGAGCAUUUUGUUUUCAACCGAUUUCAGAGGAAAUACGCUACUGGACGAGCAUACCAAACAAGCUGUUGUCGUCUGUCAAGCUAGAUUCAUAUAAUGGAUAAUAAUUCUCGUGCACCAUUGGGAGACAAGACUAACGCUGCCAAAGAAGCUGAUGCUAAAGAACAUAAGAGAGAAAGGGAUAGAGCUCGAUGGCGUGAACAAAAGGAUGCAAUUAACAAGAGGCGUCGUGAAAAAUACCAUCAGAGAAAAAACCAACAUGUUCUUGUAACUACAAAUUGUAAUAUGUGAAAUCCUAACUAUUGUCAUGGCAUGAUAAAUUGACAUUUAUUUUUUAUAAAUAUAUAUAAUGUGUAAAAUUUUGUAGAUGACGAUGCUGCAUCAAAUAAGGAAAACGUUGAUCCUGGUGAAACAGAUGAUUGGCUCCAUAGGAAUGAUUCCUAUUAUACCAACAAUAUAGUUGAUGAGAACAUGUCCACUCAAUUACCAUGUAAUUAAAGAUGUUGAAAUAUUUUAGGUCUCUGAAAAUGAUGUUGUGCAAUGAUAUGACACAAUAUAGCUAAUAAAUGUAUUUAUAUGAUUUUGUUG
Sorghum bicolor (sorghum) is the source of this 1421-nucleotide long non-coding RNA. RefSeq lists it as uncharacterized. Lineage: Eukaryota; Viridiplantae; Streptophyta; Magnoliopsida; Poales; Poaceae. The record is from RefSeq and is a predicted model, not a curated record. The transcript has 5 exons.